RNAcentral lists this ribosomal RNA (397 nucleotides) under Babesia sp. RNAcentral's name for it is "SSU rRNA". It matches the Rfam family "Eukaryotic small subunit ribosomal RNA", at positions 506 to 924 of the family's 1831-position model. The record is from RNAcentral. Lineage: Eukaryota; Apicomplexa; Aconoidasida; Piroplasmida; Babesiidae.
GUAUUGGAAUGAUGGGAAUCUAAACCCUUCCCAGAGUAUCAAUUGGAGGGCAAGUCUGGUGCCAGCAGCCGCGGUAAUUCCAGCUCCAAUAGCGUAUAUUAAAGUUGUUGCAGUUAAGAAGCUCGUAGUUGAAUUUCUGCCUCGUCUUUGGACUCGCUUUAAGCGUUUUCCAUUCGACUUGGCAUCUUUCUGGAUUUUGUUGCUUUGCAGCUUCUUCCAGUUUUUUACUUUGAGAAAACUAGAGUGUUUCAAACAGGCCAUUCGCCUUGAAUACUACAGCAUGGAAUAAUAAAGUAGGACUUUGGUUCUAUUUUGUUGGUUUUCGAACCAUAGGUAAUGGUUAAUAGGAGCAGUUGGGGGCAUUCGUAUUUAACUGUCAGAGGUGAAAAUUCUUAGA